GUCCACGCCGUAAACGGUGGGCGCUAGAUGUGGGACCAUUCCAUGGUUUCUGCGUCGCAGCUAACGCAUUAAGCGCCCCGCCUGGGAGUACGGUCGCAAGACUAAAACUCAAAGGAAUUGACGGGGCCCGCACAAGCAGCGGAGCAUGCGGCUUAAUUCGAUGCAAACGCGAAGAACCUUACCUAGGCUUGACAUAUAGAGAAAUCCCACAGAGAUGUGGAGUCCGUAAGGGCUCUAUACAGGUGGUGCAUGGUUGUCGU
Molecule: ribosomal RNA, 260 nt
Filed under: uncultured bacterium
Lineage: Bacteria
Description: partial 16S ribosomal RNA
Rfam family: Bacterial small subunit ribosomal RNA
Source: RNAcentral